This 442-nucleotide ribosomal RNA is filed under the name uncultured bacterium. Its description in RNAcentral is "partial 16S ribosomal RNA". It matches the Rfam family "Bacterial small subunit ribosomal RNA", at positions 338 to 795 of the family's 1533-position model. The record is from RNAcentral.
CCUACGGGAGGCAGCAGUGGGGAAUAUUGGGCAAUGGGCGCAAGCCUGACCCAGCAACGCCGCGUGAAGGAAGAAGGCUUUCGGGUUGUAAACUUCUUUUGUCAGGGAAGAGUAGAAGACGGUACAUGACGAAUAAGCCACGGCUAACUACGUGCCAGCAGCCGCGGUAAUACGGAGGUGGCAAGCGUUGUCCGGAUUUCCUGGGGGGAAAGGGCGGGUAGCCGGGUGGAAAAGUCAGAUGUGAAAUCCGGGGGCUCAACCCCCGAACUGCAUUUGAAACUGUUGGUCUUGAGUAUCGGAGAGGCAGGCGGAAUUCCUAGUGUAGCGGUGAAAUGCGUAGAUAUACGGAGGAACACCAGUGGCGAAGGCGGAUUGCUGGACAGUAACUGACGCUGAGGCGCGACAGCGUGGGGAGCAAACAGGAUUAGAUACCCGGGUAGUC